This 497-nucleotide ribosomal RNA is filed under the name uncultured bacterium. RNAcentral's name for it is "bacterial SSU rRNA". It matches the Rfam family "Bacterial small subunit ribosomal RNA", at positions 19 to 518 of the family's 1533-position model. The record is from RNAcentral.
CUGGCUCAGGAUGAACGCUGGCGGCGUGCUUAACACAUGCAAGUCGAACGGAGUUUUUAAGUGGAAGUUUUCGGAUGGAAGUUUAAGAACUUAGUGGCGGACGGGUGAGUAACGCGUGGGUAACCUGCCUCAUACAGGGGGAUAACAGUUAGAAAUGACUGCUAAGACCGCAUAAUAUAGCGAAACCGCAUGAUUUUGCUAUCAAAUAUUUAUAGGUAUGAGAUGGGCCCGCGUCUGAUUAGCUAGUUGGUGGGGUAAAAGCCUACCAAGGCGACGAUCAGUAGCCGGCUUGAGAGAGUGACCGGCCACAUGGACUGAGACACGGCCCAAACUCCUACGGGAGGCAGCAGGUGGGAAUAUUGGACAAUGGGGGAAACCCUGAUCCAGCCGACGCCGCGUGAGUGAAGAAGUAUUUCGGUAUGUAAAGCUCUAUCAGCAGGGAAGAUAAUGACAGUACCUGACUAAGAAGCCCCGGCUAACUACGUGCCAGCCGCCGC